UGCAAGUCGAACGGUAACAGGUCUUCGGAUGCUGACGAGUGGCGAACGGGUGAGUAAUACAUCGGAACGUGCCUAGUAGUGGGGGAUAACUACUCGAAAGAGUGGCUAAUACCGCAUGAGAUCUACGGAUGAAAGCAGGGGAUCGCAAGACCUUGUGCUACUAGAGCGGCCGAUGGCAGAUUAGGUAGUUGGUGGGAUAAAAGCUUACCAAGCCGACGAUCUGUAGCUGGUCUGAGAGGACGAUCAGCCACACUGGGACUGAGACACGGCCCAGACUCCUACGGGAGGCAGCAGUGGGGAAUUUUGGACAAUGGGCGCAAGCCUGAUCCAGCAAUGCCGCGUGCAGGAUGAAGGCCUUCGGGUUGUAAACUGCUUUUGUACGGAACGAAAAGCUCUGGGUUAAUACCCUGGGGUCAUGACGGUACCGUAAGAAUAAGCACCGGCUAACUACGUGCCAGCAGCCGCGGUAAUACGUAGGGUGCAAGCGUUAAUCGGAAUUACUGGGCGUAAAGCGUGCGCAGGCGGUUUUGUAAGACAGAGGUGAAAUCCCCGGGCUCAACCUGGGAACUGCCUUUGUGACUGCAAGGCUAGAGUACGGCAGAGGGGGAUGGAAUUCCGCGUGUAGCAGUGAAAUGCGUAGAUAUGCGGAGGAACACCGAUGGCGAAGGCAAUCCCCUGGGCCUGUACUGACGCUCAUGCACGAAAGCGUGGGGAGCAAACAGGAUUAGAUA
RNAcentral lists this ribosomal RNA (731 nucleotides) under Comamonas aquatica. RNAcentral describes it as "bacterial SSU rRNA". It matches the Rfam family "Bacterial small subunit ribosomal RNA", at positions 56 to 784 of the family's 1533-position model. Lineage: Bacteria; Pseudomonadati; Pseudomonadota; Betaproteobacteria; Burkholderiales; Comamonadaceae. The record is from RNAcentral.